Molecule: ribosomal RNA, 253 nt
Filed under: uncultured bacterium
Lineage: Bacteria
Description: partial 16S ribosomal RNA
Rfam family: Bacterial small subunit ribosomal RNA
Source: RNAcentral
UACGUAGGGGGCAAGCGUUGUCCGGAUUUAUUGGGCGUAAAGAGCGUGUAGGUGGCUUUACAGGUCCGCUGUGAAAACUCGAGGCUCAACCUCGAGCUGUCGGUGGAAACCGUGUGGCUAGAGUCCGGAAGAGGAGAGUGGAAUUCCCGGUGUAGCGGUGAAAUGCGCAGAUAUCGGGAAGAACACCCGUGGCGAAGGCGGCUCUCUGGGACGGUACUGACGCUGAGACGCGAAAGCGUGGGGAGCGAACAGG